Molecule: unclassified non-coding RNA, 2846 nt
Filed under: Leishmania donovani
Lineage: Eukaryota; Euglenozoa; Kinetoplastea; Trypanosomatida; Trypanosomatidae
Description: gene:LdHU3.35.0310(CDS-product:hypothetical_prote in_conserved)
Source: RNAcentral
UUGCAUUCGCUCUCUCUCCCUCCAGAGGCACGCGAACACACCAAAGACCAACAACAACACAGGCGGCGCACACUUUUUUUUUCAGUUUUGUCGUGGGCUUCUAGAGAGAGCACUUCCUCCUCCUCCUUUGUUCGCAUCGAAGGCGAGCUGUACGACCAAGUACUCAACGUUACAUCAAAGACGCACCCUAGCGACCCUGCAAGCGCAUCGACACCAUUCGCCAGGAAACAACAAAAAAGACAUUUAAUCUUCUUUUUCGUCAGCAGGUACACACACCGCUACCUUAUUCUUUCUCUAACACACCGCAUGAUGCCCUUGUCGAUACACGCGAGGACGUUUGUUCCGUCGUCGACGACCUACUCGCCGUCUGGAGCUAACGAGCAGACUGUUCAUGCCGCUGACUCGAAGGACUGCGUUUGUAUCGCCUUCUACGAGAACGGCAAGUGCCCGUAUGGCUCUCACUGCGAGCACGCCCACCGCUUUUCGGAACUGAAUACAGAGACCCAAAUGAAAUUACUCCGGAGCGUGCCAGUGGAGUCCAUCCCGGCGCACUUCUUCGGCGCGUCUCACUCACGGGACGAGAUGCUAGCUGCCCUGAAUGCCGUGCUACCGAGGACAUUGACGGCAGAGUACGGCUGUUUUAGCCCCAUCCACAGGGGCGAGGCGGAGCGUACGGUCUCCACGCGUCGACGCCCCCCGGGAAAGGAUCGCCAACUGGUGGUGCCGUACAUUGGACCACAAUCACCGACUCUUAAUGCCGCCUCCCUUUCCAGUCGCACUUCUAGCAGCGCCGAGAGUCUUCACGUAGGUGGAAAACACCUGUCCAAGUGUUCGUCAUCUCCCACGGCUGCCGCUUUCGCCGCUGCUGCUGCUCCCACCGCCGCGGACGCUGCGGCCUUUAAGAUGCAUCUGCCGCUCCGGUGCCGCUACCCGCAUCGCUCGAUUCCAGGCACCUACUACGAUGUGCUGGCGCUUCCUCGUGACGCCUCGCAGGACGACAUCAUCGCUAAGUAUCGCUCUUGGCAAAAGGACGGCUUCAAGCGCAUGCGUCAGGUGGAUCCUGUUGGGGCGGAGGCGGUGGACCGCAUGAUCGUGGAGGCGCGCAACGUGCUGGGAAACCCCAUAUUGCGCUCCGACUACGAUCAGCAGCUGCCUUCGGCGCCAAUGAAGCAGCAGCCAUGGUCAGCCGCCUCGUGCGGCGCCGGCUUGACGAGUACGAGUACGACUCCAAGCAAGCACCACACUCAAGGACAGUCCUCCACGACGUCUUCUACAUCCGAGGUGCACCACAGGUUGGGGGAAUCGCACAAACUCCUCGGGCACAGCAGGAGCAACUCCAGCGUAUAUUACGCUGAUUAUGCGGCGCCUGUGGUGACCAUCUCCAGCCUGCACAAUGGAGAGAGCAUUUGGUAGUUGCGCGCUCUCUUUCCAGGUAACCGGUGCUUCGGUAUAGAUGCCUCCCCCCCCCCCCCCACCCCCUGCACGACCCCUUGAGUGCUGAGGGAGCGUGACCGCCACUUCCACGGCGAACGUGCACGGGAGACGAAGGGUGAAGCACGGAUGCGCUGGACGUCUGUGUGGUGGAGCAGAGCGUUGUGCGAAGGUGCAUUCACCGAACAGAGUAGUCAGAUCCUUGCCAGCUGAGCCGCCGCGUCAUCGAUGAUGUCUGAUCAAUGGCGGUCUGGCCUCCAGCGUCUCUUGCUCCGGUCCUGAUACGCUUCAUUUCGUGUUUAACACACGUCUUUCUAAAGACAGAAUCCCCUGUUACUCGUCUCCCGAUUUUUUCUUGUGCUUCUCUUCCCCUUCUUUGUGCGCACAUGCGUGCAGUGUAUCUAACCGAGUCGUUCUCUCUCACGUCGUCUUUGGGGCGUCUUUUUCUUCGCUUCAUCUUGAUGUUUACUUCCUUUUUCUGUCCGUGACGUGAUUUUACAUUCUCAGCGUCAACGACGAUUUCCUUUUUUUUCUUUCAGUGGGUUGUGCGCUGCAAUACCUGCUGUAUCUCCACAAAGAUGCACCAGCAUAUCGAUUGUCUCUUCCGUUCUCAUUUUGUGCACGGCGCUUUCGCUUUUCGACUUCAUUGUACGUCUGCAGACGCGCACACUCGUUUAUGCCUUCAGCGCUCCCCUUCCUCGUGCGCGCCUCGUCGUUCCAUCCCUCGUUUGAUUUCGCAUUUCCUAGAGUAUUUACCCAUCAUUUUUCUAUACAGGCACCCAUUCCACCAGCUGGUCUUCUCUUCCCUCCUUUUCCACUUUUUUUUGCUUCUGUUGUUUGUUUUGUUUCGAAUUAGAUGCACUUCUUUCGUUUCCCUCCCUCGGUCUCAGUCUAGGUCUGCCUUAUCCACCGUACCUUUCACAUCUGUAAACGCGCACGCGCGCCACCUUCACCCUUUUUCCCCCUUCGUACACUACCUCUUUCUUUUCUUUUAGGCGUGCCUCACUCUUGUUCUCGCGGUGUUCGGGCCACACACCGCAGUUUGUUCACUUGAGCUAAAUCUCCUACGAAGGUGAAACACGUCAAAACCGAUUAACGAGGGGGUGGGAAAAGAGGGGGCAACGCAGACAUCUUUUGACGCUCCGGGUCUGCGAGGGUCAUGCUCUUGCGAAAGAGGCGGGUCAUUUGCCUGUGGUCGCGCGGUGCAUGGAGAAGACGUCGAAUGGACGGCCUUGAAACUGCACUACGUGGCUGCUGCCAUCACCGAUGCUUCCCCCCCCCCUUUUGCCGCUGGCGUCGUCGCCGUCUCCUUUCUCCCCCUCCCCCUCCGUUGCCGCUUUCUAUGUAUCUCGACGCCUCCUCUUUUCUUUCCAUAUCCGUGUGUGCGUGUGUGUUUGUAUGCUUACUCCGUUUAG